AGGAGAGAGAAGAUGGGCUUUCAUGAGGUCGUGAUGGUCUUAUCCCAAACGUCAGUCGUAGGGUUUGGGCCACUGCUACUCCAUUUCUUUUGUCUCACCUUCUUCACCUCUCUUCUUUACUCUUGUUGUUUCUCUUGUUCUUUUCCUCUCUCUCUCUCUCCUCUCUCUCUCUCUCUCUUACACUUAUAAUUUCACGUAUAAUUGCGAUCCAGACUCCUGUUUGCUUCUUCCAAAUCUAUAGGGUUGAGAGAGAUGACAAAUCAGGAAGUUUUUCUUUGAGGGGAAUGUUGUCUGGCUCGAGGACACUUUCGACUCACCUCUCUGUGGAAGAGACCUCGGACCAGGCUUCAUUCCCCCCAAUCACAGCUUCCGUCUCCACCAACUCACUGCAUAUGUUUGAAUCGCAGAUCUGCAGCACAACAUUUCACCUCUUCUCCAUCCCCAAGACAGAAGAAGAACAUCGAGCAAAAGACACCAUAGGAAAAUGAGCCAUAAAGCUAAUGCCGACAGUACUUGCAGAUAGCUGUUUAAUCACAGUACAUGAGUAGGUCCUGCGGUCAAACAUGUUAGGGUUAGAGAGAUACAAGCUUAGUGGUGUCGUUCACCGGCAACCUUGUCCUAUUGGUGUACACACCAUGGGAAUAUGGUGAUGGCAACCUCUCUCUCUCUCUGGCAGGAAGCUCUCGACUCUUGCUCGCUCCUUCUCUUACCAUCAGGCAUGUUCUUGGGAUGGGGAGUGAUGCCUUUUGUGCGUUGGGGAAUAUGAGCUUUAUCUUGGAUUUUGAUAUGCUUUAUUAUGGGAGUCUCACGUCCACAACUUUCCA
Molecule: long non-coding RNA, 824 nt
Organism: Musa acuminata AAA Group (dessert banana)
Lineage: Eukaryota; Viridiplantae; Streptophyta; Magnoliopsida; Zingiberales; Musaceae
Exons: 2
Source: RefSeq, a predicted model, not a curated record